RNAcentral lists this microRNA precursor (205 nucleotides) under Dichanthelium oligosanthes. RNAcentral describes it as "MIR1435 microRNA precursor family". It matches the Rfam family "MIR1435 microRNA precursor family". The record is from Rfam by way of RNAcentral. Lineage: Eukaryota; Viridiplantae; Streptophyta; Magnoliopsida; Poales; Poaceae.
UUGGUUUGUCCUAAGUUAAACUUGUUCAACUUUGACUACAUUAUAAAAAAAUAUAGCAACAAUUAUACUAUCAGACAUAUGCACUAUCAAAACAUAUACAUAUCCCAUGGUGGAUUCAACCAAACAAAUUUGGUAUUGUAAAUGUUGUUAUAUUUUUCUAUAAAUCUGGUCAACAUUAAACAAGUUUGACCUAGGACAAGCCAAA